CCUACGGGGGGCUGCAGUGGGGAAUAUUGGACAAUGGGGGGAACCCUGAUCCAGCCAUGCCGCGUGUGUGAAGAAGGCCCUCGGGUUGUAAAGCACUUUCAGUGAGGAAGAACGCCUGGUGGUUAAUACCCAUCAGGAAGGACAUCACUCACAGAAGAAGCACCGGCUAACUCCGUGCCAGCAGCCGCGGUAAUACGGAGGGUGCGAGCGUUAAUCGGAAUUACUGGGCGUAAAGCGCGCGUAGGUGGCUUGAUAAGCCGGUUGUGAAAGCCCCGGGCUCAACCUGGGAACGGCAUCCGGAACUGUCAAGCUAGAGUGCAGGAGAGGAAGGUAGAAUUCCCGGUGUAGCGGUGAAAUGCGUAGAGAUCGGGAGGAAUACCAGUGGCGAAGGCGGCCUUCUGGACUGACACUGACACUGAGGUGCGAAAGCGUGGGUAGCAAACAGGAUUAGAUACCCGGGUAGUC
This 465-nucleotide ribosomal RNA is filed under the name Vreelandella stevensii. RNAcentral's name for it is "partial 16S ribosomal RNA". It matches the Rfam family "Bacterial small subunit ribosomal RNA", at positions 338 to 795 of the family's 1533-position model. Lineage: Bacteria; Pseudomonadati; Pseudomonadota; Gammaproteobacteria; Oceanospirillales; Halomonadaceae. The record is from RNAcentral.